GCCCUCGUUGUCUAAUGGUUAUGACGUCAGACUUCUACCAUUAUAGGCAUCUGGAGGUUGCGAGUUCGAGUCUCGCCGGGGGUA
Transfer RNA from Stereum hirsutum FP-91666 SS1, 84 nucleotides. It matches the Rfam family "tRNA". Rfam says of the family: Transfer RNA (tRNA) molecules are approximately 80 nucleotides in length. Their secondary structure includes four short double-helical elements and three loops (D, anti-codon, and T loops). Further hydrogen bonds mediate the characteristic L-shaped molecular structure. tRNAs have two regions of fundamental functional importance: the anti-codon, which is responsible for specific mRNA codon recognition, and the 3' end, to which the tRNAs corresponding amino acid is attached (by aminoacyl-tRNA synthetases). tRNAs cope with the degeneracy of the genetic code in two manners: having more than one tRNA (with a specific anti-codon) for a particular amino acid; and 'wobble' base-pairing, i.e. permitting non-standard base-pairing at the 3rd anti-codon position. NCBI's taxonomy places the organism in Eukaryota, Fungi, Basidiomycota, Agaricomycetes, Russulales, Stereaceae. The record is from Rfam.